GAUACAUUCAAGUCUCUCCACUAGAUUCAAGUUUCUAAUUUUCUUGCCAAAGCCCCAAAGCCCCUAAGCCCCUAAGUGGAGAGACUUAGAAUCUUAAUUAUAACAAAUAAUACAUAUCAGUUUUUUUUACCAUGUCACAUAAUUGUCUUUUUGUUACUAACCGGAAACAGGUAACGUCGAUCUUAAAACUUAUUAGCUAAUCUCUUCUCUCGUCGAUCUCUUUGAAACUCGACUGGAAACCCCUCAAACUCGAUCCCAAAUUUGUUUUGUCUUAUCAUUCACUCUCGAUCCCUCUCAGUCGUUAUCCCUCUGAGUCAGAUUCAUCGACGAUAUACAACACCCUCUCAUAGUGAGGAGUCACAUGCAUCAAUCCAAGUCGAAUUGGUGAGGUGGAAAUUGACAAAGAAGGGUAAAAUAUAUGUUUGGGUGUUCGUUAUUUGCAGUGAUUUAGUGUUUAAAUCAUGUUGGUUUUGAUCCGUUUAGGUUGUUUUGCUCUGUUGCAGGAAGAUUUCAAUUUCAGUAGUUCUACUUUCAAUUUGGGUUUUUGAUUGANUUUUUUUUUUUUUUUUUUUGAGUUGAUAUUUUCUGAUGAUAUCGUGUAUUUCUUAUAAACUGCACACCGCCGCCGAGCCAGAGCCUAGGGAAAACGGGAUCGUUUCAUCGGUGGAGAAAGACGUGACCAGUAUGGUGCAAUGGCAGCCGAGGACGGUUGGCCGGUUGCAAUGAAGCUGCAAAAUUACUCCUCUAGAGUGGUGAUUUUAUUGAAGCGAAAACCAGCAUAUUGCAGAUGAACUUCGCAGUUUUGGAUCAGCCAUAGUGAAGGGAAAAAAUUCCAAAUUCUCAAGAUGUCGUUGACUAUAUAAUAAUACUAUAAAUAUACACUUUUGUUUUUUUGUUGCUUGUAUAUAUUCUCAAAAUGUCGUUAUUUUCUUCGGUAUUUUUUUUUUGUAAAUAACAUUUUACCAUUAUUUAUGUAUAAAAAGAAUAAUUGGCACU
Camelina sativa (false flax) is the source of this 996-nucleotide non-coding RNA. Lineage: Eukaryota; Viridiplantae; Streptophyta; Magnoliopsida; Brassicales; Brassicaceae. The record is from RefSeq and is a predicted model, not a curated record.